AGCUCCAAUAGCGUAUAUUAAAGUUGUUGCAGUUAAAAAGCUCGUAGUUGGAUUUCGGGAUGAGAAGCAUGGUCUACCGAAAGGUGUGUACUAGGCGGCUCAUUCUUCCUUCUGUAGACCUUUGUGGUUCUUGAUUGGAUUGCAGAGUGGAUGCAGAACGUUUACUUUGAAUAAAUUAGAGUGUUCAAAGCAGGCAUUUGCUUGAAUACAUUAGCAUGGAAUAAUGGAAUAGGACUUUGGUUCUAUUUUGUUGGUUUCUAGGACCGAAGUAAUGAUUAAUAGGGAUAGUUGGGGGCAUUAAUAUUUAAUUGUCAGAGGUGAAAUUCUUGGAUUUAUGAAAGAUUAACUUCUGCGAAAGCAUUUGCCAAGGAUGUUUUCAUUAAUCAAGAACGAAAGUAGG
This 400-nucleotide ribosomal RNA is filed under the name phytoplankton environmental sample. Its description in RNAcentral is "partial small subunit ribosomal RNA". It matches the Rfam family "Eukaryotic small subunit ribosomal RNA", at positions 587 to 993 of the family's 1831-position model. The record is from RNAcentral.